UCCCUGAUGGCUCAGAUGGUAAAGAAUCUGCCUGCAAUGCAGAAGACCCAGGUUGGAUCCCUGGGUCGAGAA
This 72-nucleotide transfer RNA is filed under the name Bos taurus (domestic cattle). It matches the Rfam family "tRNA". From Rfam's summary of the family: Transfer RNA (tRNA) molecules are approximately 80 nucleotides in length. Their secondary structure includes four short double-helical elements and three loops (D, anti-codon, and T loops). The record is from Rfam by way of RNAcentral. Lineage: Eukaryota; Metazoa; Chordata; Mammalia; Artiodactyla; Bovidae. RNAcentral also lists the same sequence under 5 other names.